RNAcentral lists this ribosomal RNA (512 nucleotides) under uncultured bacterium. RNAcentral describes it as "partial 16S ribosomal RNA". It matches the Rfam family "Bacterial small subunit ribosomal RNA", at positions 28 to 507 of the family's 1533-position model. The record is from RNAcentral.
GAUGAACGCUGGCGGCGUGCCUAAUACAUGCAAGUCGAACGAAACUUCUUUAUCACCGAGUGCUUGCACUCACCGAUAAAGAGUUGAGUGGCGAACGGGUGAGUAACACGUGGGCAACCUGCCCAAAAGAGGGGGAUAACACUUGGAAACAGGUGCUAAUACCGCAUAACCAUAGUUACCGCAUGGUAACUAUGUAAAAGGUGGCUAUACUGCCGCUUUUGGAUGGGCCCGCGGCGCAUUAGCUAGUUGGUAGGGUAAAGGCUUACCAAGGCAAUGAUGCGUAGCCGAAUUGAGAGGUUGAUCGGCCACAUUGGGACUGAGACACGGCCCAAACUCCUACGGGAGGCAGCAGUAGGGAAUCUUCCACAAUGGGCGAAAGCCUGAUGGAGCAACGCCGCGUGGGUGAAGAAGGUCUUCGGAUCGUAAAACCCUGUUGUUAGAGAAGAAAGUGCGUGAGAGUAACUGUUCACGUUUCGACGGUAUCUAACCAGAAAGCCACGGCUAACUACGUG